AGUGAACGCUGGCGGUAGGCCUAACACAUGCAAGUCGAACGGCAGCACAGUAAGAGCUUGCUCUUACGGGUGGCGAGUGGCGGACGGGUGAGGAAUACAUCGGAAUCUACUUUUUCGUGGGGGACAACGUAGGGAAACUUACGCUAAUACCGCAUACGACCUACGGGUGAAAGCAGGGGAUCUUCGGACCUUGCGCGAUUGAAUGAGCCGAUGUCGGAUUAGCUAGUUGGCGGGGUAAAGGCCCACCAAGGCGACGAUCCGUAGCUGGUCUGAGAGGAUGAUCGGCCACACUGGAACUGAGACACGGUCCAGACUCCUACGGGAGGCAGCAGUGGGGAAUAUUGGACAAAGGGCGCAAGCCUGAUCCAGCCAUGCCGCGUGGGUGAAGAAGGCCUUCGGGUUGUAAAGCCCUUUUGUUGGGAAAGAAAAGCAGCAGGUUAAUACCCCGCUGUUCUGACGGUACCCAAAGAAUAAGCACCGGCUAACUUCGUG
This 492-nucleotide ribosomal RNA is filed under the name uncultured bacterium. RNAcentral's name for it is "partial 16S ribosomal RNA". It matches the Rfam family "Bacterial small subunit ribosomal RNA", at positions 29 to 507 of the family's 1533-position model. The record is from RNAcentral.